UGGGGAAUAUUGGACAAUGGGCGCAAGCCUGAUCCAGCCAUGCCGCGUGAGUGAUGAAGGCCCUAGGGUUGUAAAGCUCUUUCACCGGUGAAGAUAAUGACGGUAACCGGAGAAGAAGCCCCGGCUAACUUCGUGCCAGCAGCCGCGGUAAUACGAAGGGGGCUAGCGUUGUUCGGAUUUACUGGGCGUAAAGCGCACGUAGGCGGACUAUUAAGUCAGGGGUGAAAUCCCGGGGCUCAACCCCGGAACUGCCUUUGAUACUGGUAGUCUUGAGUUCGAGAGAGGUGAGUGGAAUUCCGAGUGUAGAGGUGAAAUUCGUAGAUAUUCGGAGGAACACCAGUGGCGAAGGCGGCUCACUGGCUCGAUACUGAUGCUGAGGUGCGAAAGCGUGGGGAGCAAACAGG
This 404-nucleotide ribosomal RNA is filed under the name Actinomycetes bacterium. Its description in RNAcentral is "Actinobacteria bacterium partial 16S ribosomal RNA". It matches the Rfam family "Bacterial small subunit ribosomal RNA", at positions 355 to 776 of the family's 1533-position model. Lineage: Bacteria; Bacillati; Actinomycetota; Actinomycetes. The record is from RNAcentral.